Molecule: unclassified non-coding RNA, 253 nt
Filed under: uncultured Alphaproteobacteria bacterium
Lineage: Bacteria; Pseudomonadati; Pseudomonadota; Alphaproteobacteria
Description: contains 16S-23S intergenic spacer region
Rfam family: Bacterial small subunit ribosomal RNA
Source: RNAcentral
UACGAAGGGGGCUAGCGUUGUUCGGAAUUACUGGGCGUAAAGGGCGCGUAGGCGGUACUCCAAGUCAGGCGUGAAAGCCCCGGGCUCAACCUGGGAACCGCGCUUGAGACUGGAGAACUAGAGUUCGGGAGCGGAUGGUGGAAUUCCCAGUGUAGAGGUGAAAUUCGUAGAUAUUGGGAAGAACACCGAUGGCGAAGGCAGCCAUCUGGACCGACACUGACGCUGAGGCGCGAAAGCGUGGGGAGCAAACAGG